GCUUUAUGAACUGUCCCCUAGUUCAGAGUAAACUGUCAUUUGGGAGUGAUAACAAGAGGAUAAAGACAUCACAGAUGGGGAGAAGGAAGCUGGACUUCUGUCUUGAGGCAGGCCAUGAAGAAAGGAUAGGAGUUUAAUAAGAAACUAUAUAAUUCUCAGAAAAGCAGAAGCUGUGUUUUGAAUAAAAGUCUUGGGAUUCGGCAGGAAGAUCCUACAAUAAGGAAGACACCAUCAGAGCUGCCCAUCCUCCCCAGCACUAAAGAAAGAAAAGAUUUACUUU
This is a non-coding RNA of Rattus norvegicus (Norway rat), 280 nucleotides long. The record is from RefSeq and is a predicted model, not a curated record. NCBI's taxonomy places the organism in Eukaryota, Metazoa, Chordata, Mammalia, Rodentia, Muridae.